UUCGUAAUUAAGCUAUUAAGUUAAGGGACUUUCCGUCUUUAAUUUUUUUUUAUCUUACUUUUUGAUACUUUAAAUACUAGACGAGAAGGGAUAUUUGUUACUUUCUGUGUGCUUUGAUGUCUAUCAAUAACAUUGAGAAUGGAAAUGGGGAAUGUGUCAAAGAGACAACAACCCGACCAUAGAACAGACAACAGCAGAAGGUCACAAAAAGGUCUUCAAUGCAGCGAGAAACUCCCGCACCCAAGGCGUCCUUCAGCUGGCCCCAUAACAAAUAUAUAUACUAGUUCAGUGAUAGUGAAGUUUAUCAAAACGAUAUAUAUAUUGUAUAGCUUUAGUUAAAGAUUGGACCACCCUUAUCCAACCUUUUACUUCUAGACAAAAAAAAAAUAAACCAAUAAGAGCUACCUUAGCAUUCACACGAUAAUUAUGUAUGCAGAUUUCUUUUAAAUUAUUUAGAGCUAGUUAAAAGGGACAGCCUAGCCUGCAUGAUUAUCUUUAUUAAAGUCUUCAAAAACUUGUAUUACCCUUCCUAAGAACCUUAGAUAAUUGUGGGGUUGAAGUCAUAAAACUUUGUGCAGUGCUCGGAGCAUGCUAGAAACAUGAAAUCCAGCAUUUUUAUUGGUUGAUUUUGGAGUAUGAGUACAAAAGAUUGACUCAAAGUUGUAUGACUUCAAGGCCUGGACUUAUUGAUAUGUUGCUAAGACUUUUUAAAAUUUUCUAUGAAGAGUUCUUUUUUACCUUAUUGUCUUUCUUUACUUUUUUACGCAAUGUUGUCAUAUUACCUUUCGAAAUUUGUGUUUAGUAUGUUCAUUUAUAGCACUUUUGUAUGAACUUGGAUUGCUGUGCCCCAAUCUUAACAUUUUCUGCUUAUUAAGUCUUUGUUUUUCUGACAUAUUUUGGUCAAUAAGAUAAAACUAUGUGACUGUGAAACACUUGAGGGUUUAAGCUAGCUAUCACACCAGAUUUAAAUCUACAUUUUGUAGAUAAGGAAAUGCCUGCUCAAAGUCAGAAUUAUGACAGUUGUUUUACAUUUGUUUGCAGUGUAAUUUGAAUUGAUUUUUGCCAUAUGAUAAAAGACUUUCCGUGUGAACUUUUUUUGGAUGUUGGUAUUUUUGGUAUUUUACUUUUUUCUUUUAAGAUGACCUUUAUCUGUGUUUGACUA
RNAcentral lists this long non-coding RNA (1162 nucleotides) under Mytilus galloprovincialis (Mediterranean mussel). The record is from RNAcentral. Lineage: Eukaryota; Metazoa; Mollusca; Bivalvia; Mytilida; Mytilidae.